UUUAUUGGAGAGUUUGAUCCUGGCUCAGGAUGAACGCUGGCGGCGUGCCUAAUACAUGCAAGUCGAGCGAAUGGAUUAAGAGCUUGCUCUUAUGAAGUUAGCGGCGGACGGGUGAGUAACACGUGGGUAACCUGCCCAUAAGACUGGGAUAACUCCGGGAAACCGGGGCUAAUACCGGAUAAUAUUUUGAACCGCAUGGUUCGAAAUUGAAAGGCGGCUUCGGCUGUCACUUAUGGAUGGACCCGCGUCGCAUUAGCUAGUUGGUGAGGUAACGGCUCACCAAGGCAACGAUGCGUAGCCGACCUGAGAGGGUGAUCGGCCACACUGGGACUGAGACACGGCCCAGACUCCUACGGGGAGGCAGCAGUAGGGAAUCUUCCGCAAUGGACGAAAGUCUGACGGAGCAACGCCGCGUGAGUGAUG
This 423-nucleotide ribosomal RNA is filed under the name Bacillus anthracis str. 95014. RNAcentral's name for it is "bacterial SSU rRNA". It matches the Rfam family "Bacterial small subunit ribosomal RNA", at positions 1 to 410 of the family's 1533-position model. The record is from RNAcentral. Lineage: Bacteria; Bacillati; Bacillota; Bacilli; Caryophanales; Bacillaceae.